Molecule: ribosomal RNA, 527 nt
Filed under: Glossobalanus berkeleyi
Lineage: Eukaryota; Metazoa; Hemichordata; Enteropneusta; Ptychoderidae
Description: partial 16S large subunit ribosomal RNA
Rfam family: Bacterial large subunit ribosomal RNA
Source: RNAcentral
CCCUAGAUGGGGGGUACUGCCUGCCCAGUGAAUAAAUUUUAAACGGCCGCGYUAUCCUGACCGUGCGAAGGUAGCAUAAUCACUAGCCCUCUAAAUAAGGGCCGGUAUGAAUGGCAACACGAGGGCCUAACUGUCUCCUCCUUAACAAAAGAAACUUCUCUGGCCGUGCAAAAGCGGCUAUUAAAGCGCUAGACGAGAAGACCCUAUCGAGCUUCAGGGAUAGAGGAAUGACUAAAAACCAGGUCAGCUGAUAUCACACCCCUAGCUUUGCUCCCUCUCCUUCAUUCCCUUUGGUUGGGGCAACCACGGAGAAUAAACAUCCUCCGAACCAAACUAAUUUUCAAAGACAUUUCGUCUAAAGUACAACCCUUAUGGCACAUGACCCGGUCAUACCGAGCAAUAAACAAAGUUACCGUAGGGAUAACAGCGUAAUCCCUCCUAAGAGCCCGCAUUGCCGGAGGGGUUUGCGACCUCGAUGUUGGAUCGGGGAACCCCGAUGGUGCAGCCGCUAUCAACGGUUGGUCUGU